RNAcentral lists this ribosomal RNA (501 nucleotides) under uncultured bacterium. Its description in RNAcentral is "bacterial SSU rRNA". It matches the Rfam family "Bacterial small subunit ribosomal RNA", at positions 18 to 518 of the family's 1533-position model. The record is from RNAcentral.
UAUGGCUCAGGAUGAACGCUGGCGGCGUGCUUAACACAUGCAAGUCGAACGAAGCGCUUUCUGAAUUCUUCGGGAAUGAAGGAACUGUGACUUAGUGGCGGACGGGUGAGUAACGCGUGGGUAACCUGCCUUAUACAGGGGGAUAACAGUUGGAAACGACUGCUAACACCGCAUAAGCGCACAGUGUCGCAUGGCACAGUGUGAAAACAUUUAUGGGUAUAAGAUGGACCCCGCGUCUGAUUAGCUAGUUGGUGAGGUAACGGCCCACCAAGGCGACGAUCAGUAGCCGGCUUGAGAGAGUGAACGGCCACAUUGGGACUGAGACACGGCCCAAACUCCUACGGGAGGCAGCAGUGGGGAAUAUUGCACAAUGGGGGAAACCCUGAUGCAGCCGACGCCGCGUGAGUGAAGAAGUAUUUCGGUAUGUAAAGCUCUAUCAGCAGGGACGAUAAUGACGGUACCUGACUAAGAAGCCCCGGCUAACUACGUGCCAGCAGCGGC